UUAUAUCCUAAUGUUUUUCAUGAAAAAAGAAUAAGAAUAAACAAGGGUUGUUACAAUCUCUGCUGCAAGGAUAAACAUGGAUCAGCCGCAAAACUCGUUCUUUGGGACCAAUCUGGUUAAAAUCUGAGAAAGGGUUUAUGUUUUGUUUUUAUCAUAGAACAAGUGAAAGUGGAGAACUAAAGGUCCUAAGAUAAGGUCUUCUUUUCCUGUCCCUUUUACCAUUUGUCCUGUACUUUUCCGAUUAAAAGUUUGUGAAUAAUUUCUUUUUUUCUUGAUUGAAUGGAUCGCUUUGUGGCUUUAGUGGGUUACAUAGUCGGGGCCUUUGUGUCAAAUUCUCACCAUUUGUGAAGAAUUAGAUCCUUGUUGCAUCACAUCGCCAGAUAUACUUCAUAGUUUUUAUUAAUUAGUUGCUUUUCAUUUAUUA
RNAcentral lists this long non-coding RNA (424 nucleotides) under Glycine max (soybean). Its description in RNAcentral is "long non-coding RNA (GMAX_LNC001189)". The record is from RNAcentral. Lineage: Eukaryota; Viridiplantae; Streptophyta; Magnoliopsida; Fabales; Fabaceae.